GCUGGGCGAGGUGGCAUGUGCCUGUAGUCCCAGCUACUUGGGAGGCUGAGGUGGAGGAUCGCUUGAGCCCAGGAAUUCUGGGCUGUAGUGAGCUAUGCCAAUCAGGUGUCCACAGUAAGUUUGGCAUCAAUAUAGUGACCACCCAGGAGCGGGGGACCACCCGGUUGCCUAAGGAGGAGUGAACCGGCCCAAGCUGGAAAUGGAGCAGGUCAAAAUUCCCAUGCUGAUCAGUAAUGGGAUCGCACCUGUCAAUAGCCACUGCACUCCAGCCUGGGCAACAUUUCAAGACACUGUCUCU
This 298-nucleotide signal recognition particle RNA is filed under the name Aotus nancymaae (Ma's night monkey). RNAcentral's name for it is "Metazoan signal recognition particle RNA (ENSANAG00000001277.1)". It matches the Rfam family "Metazoan signal recognition particle RNA". Rfam says of the family: The signal recognition particle (SRP) is a universally conserved ribonucleoprotein. It is involved in the co-translational targeting of proteins to membranes. The eukaryotic SRP consists of a 300-nucleotide 7S RNA and six proteins: SRPs 72, 68, 54, 19, 14, and 9. The record is from RNAcentral. Lineage: Eukaryota; Metazoa; Chordata; Mammalia; Primates; Aotidae.